Molecule: ribosomal RNA, 339 nt
Filed under: uncultured bacterium
Lineage: Bacteria
Description: bacterial SSU rRNA
Rfam family: Bacterial small subunit ribosomal RNA
Source: RNAcentral
ACGAGAUCGUUCAGAGUUUGAUCCUGGCUCAGGACGAACGCUGGCGGCACGCUUAACACAUGCAAGUCGAACGGUGAAGAGAAGCUUGCUUCUCGGAUCAGUGGCGGACGGGUGAGUAACACGUGAGCAACCUGCCUUUAAGAGGGGGAUAACGUUCGGAAACGAACGCUAAUACCGCAUAACAUAUGGGAUUCGCAUGUUUUCCAUAUCAAAGAUUUAUCGCUUAAAGAUGGGCUCGCGUCUGAUUAGCUAGUUGGUGAGGUAACGGCUCACCAAGGCGACGAUCAGUAGCCGGACUGAGAGGUUGAACGGCCACAUUAGGACUGAGACACGGCCCAG